This 119-nucleotide ribosomal RNA is filed under the name Pteropus alecto (black flying fox). The record is from RNAcentral. Lineage: Eukaryota; Metazoa; Chordata; Mammalia; Chiroptera; Pteropodidae.
GUCUAUGACCAUGCUACCCUGAACAAGCCUAAUCUCAUCUGAUCUCAGAAGCUAAGUAGGCUCGGACCUGAUUAGUACUUGGAUGGGAGACCACCUAGGAGGACAAGGUACUGUAGGUG